AGAGUUUGAUCCUGGCUCAGGAUGAACGCUGGCGGCGUGCCUAAUACAUGCAAGUCGAGCGAACGGACGAGAAGCUUGCUUCUCUGAUGUUAGCGGCGGACGGGUGAGUAACACGUGGAUAACCUACCUAUAAGACUGGGAUAACUUCGGGAAACCGGAGCUAAUACCGGAUAAUAUUUUGAACCGCAUGGUUCAAAAGUGAAAGACGGUCUUGCUGUCACUUAUAGAUGGAUCCGCGCUGCAUUAGCUAGUUGGUAAGGUAACGGCUUACCAAGGCAACGAUGCAUAGCCGACCUGAGAGGGUGAUCGGCCACACUGGAACUGAGACACGGUCCAGACUCCUACGGGAGGCAGCAGUAGGGAAUCUUCCGCAAUGGGCGAAAGCCUGACGGAGCAACGCCGCGUGAGUGAUGAAGGUCUUCGGAUCGUAAAACUCUGUUAUUAGGGAAGAACAUAUGUGUAAGUAACUGUGCACAUCUUGACGGUACCUAAUCAGAAAGCCACGGCUAACUACGUGCCAGCAGCCGCGGUAAUACGUAGGUGGCAAGCGUUAUCCGGAAUUAUUGGGCGUAAAGCGCGCGUAGGCGGUUUUUUAAGUCUGAUGUGAAAGCCCACGGCUCAACCGUGGAGGGUCAUUGGAAACUGGAAAACUUGAGUGCAGAAGAGGAAAGUGGAAUUCCAUGUGUAGCGGUGAAAUGCGCAGAGAUAUGGAGGAACACCAGUGGCGAAGGCGACUUUCUGGUCUGUAACUGACGCUGAUGUGCGAAAGCGUGGGGAUCAAACAGGAUUAGAUACCCUGGUAGUCCACGCCGUAAACGAUGAGUGCUAAGUGUUAGGGGGUUUCCGCCCCUUAGUGCUGCAGCUAACGCAUUAAGCACUCCGCCUGGGGAGUACGACCGCAAGGUUGAAACUCAAAGGAAUUGACGGGGACCCGCACAAGCGGUGGAGCAUGUGGUUUAAUUCGAAGCAACGCGAAGAACCUUACCAAAUCUUGACAUUCUUUGACAACUCUAGAGAUAGAGCCUUCCCCUUCGGGGGACAAAGUGACAGGUGGUGCAUGGUUGUCGUCAGCUCGUGUCGUGAGAUGUUGGGUUAAGUCCCGCAACGAGCGCAACCCUUAAGCU
RNAcentral lists this ribosomal RNA (1124 nucleotides) under Staphylococcus aureus W52120. RNAcentral's name for it is "bacterial SSU rRNA". It matches the Rfam family "Bacterial small subunit ribosomal RNA", at positions 8 to 1111 of the family's 1533-position model. The record is from RNAcentral. Lineage: Bacteria; Bacillati; Bacillota; Bacilli; Caryophanales; Staphylococcaceae.